This 477-nucleotide ribosomal RNA is filed under the name Botryotinia sp. NBBC01-1-M1. Its description in RNAcentral is "eukaryotic LSU rRNA". The stretch from base 122 to 275 matches the Rfam family "5.8S ribosomal RNA". Lineage: Eukaryota; Fungi; Ascomycota; Leotiomycetes; Helotiales; Sclerotiniaceae. The record is from RNAcentral. RNAcentral also lists the same sequence under 1 other name.
ACCCUUUGUUGUCCGACUCUGUUGCCUCCGGGGCGACCCUGCCUCCGGGCGGGGGCCCCGGGUGGACAUUUCAAACUCUUGCGUAACUUUGCAGUCUGAGUAAAUUUAAUUAAUAAAUUAAAACUUUCAACAACGGAUCUCUUGGUUCUGGCAUCGAUGAAGAACGCAGCGAAAUGCGAUAAGUAAUGUGAAUUGCAGAAUUCAGUGAAUCAUCGAAUCUUUGAACGCACAUUGCGCCCCCUGGUAUUCCGGGGGGCAUGCCUGUUCGAGCGUCAUUUCACCACUCAAGCCUCGCUUGGUAUUGGGCGACGCGGUCCGCCGCGCGCCUCAAAUCGACCGGCUGGGUCUUUCGUCCCCUCAGCGUUGUGGAAACUAUUCGCUAAAGGGUGCCGCGGGAGGCCACGCCGUAAAACAACCCCAUUUCUAAGGUUGACCUCGGAUCAGGUAGGGAUACCCGCUGAACUUAAGCAUAUCAAU